CUUUCGGCGGGAUUUUCCUCAGACUGUCCGAACGGAACAAUCAAGGCAUGAAGAUCAUGCCCGAAAAUUCAGUGUCCGCCCUUUUGCUGACCCUGCUGGCCGGGCUUCUGGUUUGGAUCCUGCUGCUGCUGGCCCGGCUUUUGGCCGCCGCCCUGCUGCUGCUGACCCGGCUUCUGGCUGGGAUUCUGGCUCUGCUGGCCUGGGUUCUGGUUCGGAUUG
This 219-nucleotide unclassified non-coding RNA is filed under the name Hevea brasiliensis (rubber tree). The record is from RNAcentral. Lineage: Eukaryota; Viridiplantae; Streptophyta; Magnoliopsida; Malpighiales; Euphorbiaceae.